Molecule: ribosomal RNA, 152 nt
Filed under: Salix viminalis (osier)
Lineage: Eukaryota; Viridiplantae; Streptophyta; Magnoliopsida; Malpighiales; Salicaceae
Rfam family: 5.8S ribosomal RNA
About the family: 5.8S ribosomal RNA (5.8S rRNA) is a component of the large subunit of the eukaryotic ribosome. It is transcribed by RNA polymerase I as part of the 45S precursor that also contains 18S and 28S rRNA.
Source: RNAcentral
GACUCUCGGCAACGGAUAUCUCGGCUCUCGCAUCGAUGAAGAACGUAGCGAAAUGCGAUACUUGGUGUGAAUUGCAGAAUCCCGUGAACCAUCGAGUCUUUGAACGCAAUGCGCGAGGCCUCCUGGUCGAGGGCACGUCUGCCUGGGUGUCA